CCUACGGGAGGCAGCAGUGAGGAAUAUUGGUCAAUGGGCGGGAGCCUGAACCAGCCAAGCCGCGUGAGGGAAGACGGUCCUAUGGAUUGUAAACCUCUUUUGUCGGGGAGCAAAGAGAUCACGUGUGGUCAAAAGCGAGAGUACCCGAAGAAAAAGCAUUGGCUAACUCCGUGCCAGCAGCCGCGGUAAUACGGAGGAUGCGAGCGUUAUCCGGAUUUAUUGGGUUUAAAGGGUGCGUAGGCGGGACGGUAAGUCAGCGGUAAAAAUGCGGAGCUCGACUCCGUCGAGCCGUUGAAACUGCCGUU
Molecule: ribosomal RNA, 305 nt
Filed under: uncultured bacterium
Lineage: Bacteria
Description: bacterial SSU rRNA
Rfam family: Bacterial small subunit ribosomal RNA
Source: RNAcentral